AGACCUACCCUAAAAGCAGCUACACCAAAAGGAAAUUAUAAGUCAACAUCGAGGUCGCAAUCUUAAUUUUUGAUUAGAACUCUCAAAAAAAAUAACGCUGUUAUCCCUUUGGUAAUUUAAUCUAUUAAUCAAAAACAUUGGAUCAAAAUAAUAAAAAGAAGAUUAAUCACUUCCUUGGUCGCCCCAACCAAAUUUCUUAAAGAUAAAAAAUCAAAAAAAAAAUAAAAGCUCAAAAGGGUCUUCUUGUCCCAUAAAAAAAUUUAGCUUCUUCACUAAAAAAGCAAAUUCAAGACAUUUUAAAAUAAAGAAAAAAACUUGUACUUCCAUUCAUGCUAGUCCUCAAUUAUAAGACAAAUGAUUAUGCUACCUUUGCACGGUCAAAAUACCGCG
RNAcentral lists this ribosomal RNA (390 nucleotides) under Tetrastemma sp. RNAcentral's name for it is "partial 16S ribosomal RNA". Lineage: Eukaryota; Metazoa; Nemertea; Enopla; Monostilifera; Tetrastemmatidae. The record is from RNAcentral.